GCGCCCCUGCGUUGAGCGCAAGGCAACUAUUGCCCGAGCCGAUAACUGCUGAAAGGGAGCUUAGCUAUCCUGAUUGUGUGUAUCCCCGGUCGUCUAUGCGAUCAUACGGGAAACCUGAUGUCAGGAUGCGGCGCCCACUUCGUUUGAAGGGUUCGGCAGCAUUUAGCCAUAACGCCAGCGCGGGGGUGCC
This 190-nucleotide non-coding RNA is filed under the name Mariprofundaceae bacterium. RNAcentral describes it as "6S RNA". It matches the Rfam family "6S / SsrS RNA". From Rfam's summary of the family: E. coli 6S RNA was the first non coding RNA to be sequenced, but its function was unknown until recently. It consists of 184 nucleotides that fold into an extended hairpin structure with a large single-stranded internal bulge. The 6S RNA specifically associates with RNA polymerase holoenzyme containing the sigma70 specificity factor. Lineage: Bacteria; Pseudomonadati; Pseudomonadota; Candidatius Mariprofundia; Mariprofundales; Mariprofundaceae. The record is from RNAcentral.